GGAUUGUAGUCUGCAACCCGGCUACAUGAAGCUGGAAUCGCUAGUAAUCGCAGAUCAGAAUGCUGCGGUGAAUACGUUCCCGGGUCUUGUACACACCGCCCGUCACACCAUGGGAGUCGGAAAUGCCCGAAGUCGGUGACCCAACCGUUUACGGAGGGAGCUGCCGAAGGCAGGUCUGGUGACUGGGGUGAAGUCGUAACAAGGUAAC
Molecule: ribosomal RNA, 208 nt
Filed under: uncultured bacterium
Lineage: Bacteria
Description: partial 16S ribosomal RNA
Rfam family: Bacterial small subunit ribosomal RNA
Source: RNAcentral